CAUUAUGAAGCUAGCCUAGCGUUAACCUUUUAAGUUAAAGAUUAGGAGUUAGAUCUCCUCAUAAUGA
RNAcentral lists this transfer RNA (67 nucleotides) under Dremomys pyrrhomerus (red-hipped squirrel). Its description in RNAcentral is "tRNA-Lys". It matches the Rfam family "tRNA". Rfam says of the family: Transfer RNA (tRNA) molecules are approximately 80 nucleotides in length. Lineage: Eukaryota; Metazoa; Chordata; Mammalia; Rodentia; Sciuridae. The record is from RNAcentral.